Molecule: ribosomal RNA, 253 nt
Filed under: uncultured bacterium
Lineage: Bacteria
Description: partial 16S ribosomal RNA
Rfam family: Bacterial small subunit ribosomal RNA
Source: RNAcentral
UACGAAGGGGGCUAGCGUUGUUCGGAUUUACUGGGCGUAAAGCGCACGUAGGCGGGUCGUUAAGUCAGGGGUGAAAUCCCGGAGCUCAACUCCGGAACUGCCUUUGAUACUGGCGACCUUGAGGCUGGAAGAGGUUAGUGGAAUUCCCAGUGUAGAGGUGAAAUGCGUAGAUAUUGGGAGGAACACCAGUGGCGAAGGCGGCUCACUGGACCGGUACUGACGCUGAUGCGCGAAAGCGUGGGGAGCAAACGGG